Saccostrea cuccullata (small rock oyster) is the source of this 632-nucleotide long non-coding RNA. RefSeq lists it as uncharacterized. The transcript is spliced from 3 exons. NCBI's taxonomy places the organism in Eukaryota, Metazoa, Mollusca, Bivalvia, Ostreida, Ostreidae. The record is from RefSeq and is a predicted model, not a curated record.
AAAAGAAAAAUUCAAAUAAACACAUAACAAUUUUCACACUGACAAUUAACUUUACUUAAGAUCCACUCCCCAAAAACCUUCGAGAUAUCAGAUAAGGAGUGCCUCUCGCUUAGUUGGUCAGUUUCAGUGUCAGGAUAACCUUGUUAUGCAAUUUUCUUGCUGGGCAGAGUAGAGCUGCAGCUUAUCUAGGUCAAAAUUUGAAUUCAACUGAUGGGCAAGAAGUGCGCGCUGUUCAUAUUUAAUGUGUUUUCAAGAUAUAUACAAAAGGAAUAAGGCUGGAAUAUCAACUUCUGCUCAUUCAUCGUAUGGUUCAAUCAACCAGUGGUGAGGGAAGUGAUUGUAUAUAGUCAGCCUUGAUUGCAUCAGAUUCUUCGCCCGUGAAAAUUAUACAAAGGAAUGCAAUAUUUUGCUGUUGCUCUAGAGGGUGGAUUCUCCUGUUCAUUUCUUUCAUUCGUGGGACUUAACUACAGAUGUAUAUGCGUGAUUAAAAUCAAUGGAUCCGCCACUUUGUGAAACUUAGUAGUGUAAGACAGACGCGUACUUUGAAGAACCUUGAUGUGAUAACUGUGACCCCCUUUUCACUAGGAAUAUAAAUUUGUCAAGCAGUGAUUUUUGAGAUUCAUUGAUUGAAU